This 465-nucleotide ribosomal RNA is filed under the name uncultured Klebsiella sp. Its description in RNAcentral is "bacterial SSU rRNA". It matches the Rfam family "Bacterial small subunit ribosomal RNA", at positions 338 to 795 of the family's 1533-position model. The record is from RNAcentral. Lineage: Bacteria; Pseudomonadati; Pseudomonadota; Gammaproteobacteria; Enterobacterales; Enterobacteriaceae.
CCUACGGGGGGCAGCAGUGGGGAAUAUUGCACAAUGGGCGCAAGCCUGAUGCAGCCAUGCCUCGUGUGUGAAGAAGGCCUUCGGGUUGUAAAGCACUUUCAGCGGGGAGGAAGGCGGUGAGGUUAAUAACCUCAUCGAUUGACGUUACCCGCAGAAGAAGCACCGGCUAACUCCGUGCCAGCAGCCGCGGUAAUACGGAGGGUGCAAGCGUUAAUCGGAAUUACUGGGCGUAAAGCGCACGCAGGCGGUCUGUCAAGUCGGAUGUGAAAUCCCCGGGCUCAACCUGGGAACUGCAUUCGAAACUGGCAGGCUAGAGUCUUGUAGAGGGGGGUAGAAUUCCAGGUGUAGCGGUGAAAUGCGUAGAGAUCUGGAGGAAUACCGGUGGCGAAGGCGGCCCCCUGGACAAAGACUGACGCUCAGGUGCGAAAGCGUGGGGAGCAAACAGGAUUAGAUACCCGAGUAGUC